Molecule: unclassified non-coding RNA, 207 nt
Filed under: rhizosphere metagenome
Description: partial ribosomal RNA internal transcribed spacer region
Source: RNAcentral
GAGUUCAUGCCCUCACGGGUAGACCUCCCACCCUUGUGUAUUUAUACUAUGUUGCUUUGGCAGGUUGCUGCACCCCUCGGGGGACAGCCCCAGCGCCUUCGGGCCUGGGAGUCGCCUGCCGGAGGAAAAACAAACUCUGAAUUGUUAGUGUCGUCUGAGUACUAUAUUUUAAUAGUUAAAACUUUCAACAACGGAUCUCUUGGUUCU